Molecule: long non-coding RNA, 777 nt
Filed under: Homo sapiens (human)
Lineage: Eukaryota; Metazoa; Chordata; Mammalia; Primates; Hominidae
Description: testis expressed 41
Source: RNAcentral
AGAGGGGAAGUGAAUGACCAACUGGGUAGGCUGAUGAAUAUUUUCCUGGUAAAUGCAUAACUUUCCCCACAACUGUGAUGCUUUAUCCUUUGACAUUAAGAAUGCUGUUUGCAGAAGUAACAUUCCUUUGAACACUCAGCUUUCUGAAAUGGUGUCCCACCGCAAGGACUGGAGAAGGGCACCCUUGGAAAUGCAAUGCUACAUCUCAAUGGGAUUUUCCAGUACAAAGAUUCUUUUCAAAUAACAUAAUUGUGGAUACACACCACUCCUACAGUGGUAAGUAUACUGAAGAUGUGCCAAAACAUUAGGGCAAAAAUUCAGUUCCCAUGGCAUACAAGCAGGAACCCAACCAUUUGCAGCAAUAAAUAAAAUUUUUGUAGACUACGAGAUUAUAAAGUAUGCAUUCUCUGUUAGAAUCAAAUUGCCUGUUUGUUUGUUUUGGAGUAAAACAACCUGAUAAAUGAAAGAAGAAAGAAAAGCAUAUAUGAAUGCAGAAUUUGCGAAUAUUUUUGUUUCAUAGCUGAAACUGGUAUAUUUUAUUGCUCUCAAAUAUGAAGCCAAUAGAUGAUAAGUGAUCAUAUAAAGAGAUAACAAUUCUUUACUUAAUAUUGGUUGAACUCUUACUUCCUUGACUUCCUGAGACUGUGUAAACAAAAUGAACAGGUAAGCAAAUUAAAAACAACAAUGAAAAAUCUUGCCAUCUAAGGUUCAACCAAAAUAGAGUUCAGGUAUAAAGAAUAGCAUAACAGAGGGAGGAAAAAAAUGAGCAUAAAUAAA